This 263-nucleotide long non-coding RNA is filed under the name Ananas comosus (pineapple). Its description in RNAcentral is "long non-coding RNA (ACOM_LNC023224)". The record is from RNAcentral. Lineage: Eukaryota; Viridiplantae; Streptophyta; Magnoliopsida; Poales; Bromeliaceae.
UUACCUUUACGGAUUAAAAUGAAACAGUAUAAAACUUACCUCAACUAUCACCAAUUUAGAUUUGACUACCUAACGUUUAAAAAUUUUUAUUUUAUUAUUUGACCUUUGAAUUUAUUUGAUUUGAGCCAAUUAGUGAAUUUUUAACUUCAAAAUAUGAACACGUCAUUUAUCCUUACGGGUUUAGUUAGUAUAUUUUAUGCAACUUGCAUAAAUAUAAAUUUAUUAAAGCAAGCAAUUAGCUUAAAUUUUGUAUCCGAAAAACU